RNAcentral lists this transfer RNA (71 nucleotides) under Parrhinotermes sp. A MW-2019. RNAcentral describes it as "tRNA-Gln". Lineage: Eukaryota; Metazoa; Arthropoda; Insecta; Blattodea; Rhinotermitidae. The record is from RNAcentral.
UACGUCUUGGUGUAUGGUGCACGGUAGCUUUUGAUGCUUAAUGGGGAUAUGUUUAAUUCUGUCGGACGUAA